This 443-nucleotide ribosomal RNA is filed under the name uncultured bacterium. RNAcentral describes it as "partial 16S ribosomal RNA". It matches the Rfam family "Bacterial small subunit ribosomal RNA", at positions 338 to 795 of the family's 1533-position model. The record is from RNAcentral.
CCUACGGGUGGCAGCAGUGGGGAAUAUUGGGCAAUGGGCGCAAGCCUGACCCAGCAACGCCGCGUGAAGGAAGAAGGCUUUCGGGUUGUAAACUUCUUUUGUCAGGGACGAAGCAAGUGACGGUACCUGAUGUAUAAGACACGGCUAACUACGUGCCAGCAGCCGCGGUAAUACGUAGGUGGCAAGCGUUAUCAGGAUUUACUGGGUGUAAAGGGCGUGUAGGCGGGACUGCAAGUCAGAUGUGAAAACCACGGGCUCAACCUGUGGACUGCAUUUGAAACUGUAGUUCUUGAGGACUGGGGAGGCAGACGGAAUUCCUAGUGUAGCGGUGAAAUGCGUAGAGAUUAGGAGGAACACCAGUGGCGAAGGCGGUCUGCUGGACAGCAACUGACGCUGAGGCGCGAAAGCGUGGGGAGCAAACAGGAUUAGAUACCCGUGUAGUC